CACCGCACUUCUUCCGCACCGCA
Molecule: non-coding RNA, 23 nt
Filed under: Arabidopsis thaliana (thale cress)
Lineage: Eukaryota; Viridiplantae; Streptophyta; Magnoliopsida; Brassicales; Brassicaceae
Source: RNAcentral